Molecule: ribosomal RNA, 254 nt
Filed under: uncultured bacterium
Lineage: Bacteria
Description: partial 16S ribosomal RNA
Rfam family: Bacterial small subunit ribosomal RNA
Source: RNAcentral
UACGGGGGGAGCAAGCGUUGUUCGGAUUUACUGGGCGUAAAGGGCGCGUAGGCGGCCUCCGCAAGUCAGUUGUGAAAUCUCCGGGCUUAACUCGGAAAGGUCAACUGAUACUGCGGGGCUAGAGUGCAGAAGGGGCAACUGGAAUUCUCGGUGUAGCGGUGAAAUGCGUAGAUAUCGAGAGGAACACCUGCGGCGAAGGCGGGUUGCUGGGCUGACACUGACGCUGAGGCGCGAAAGCCAGGGGAGCGAACGGG